CAGAGGGUGCAAACGUUGUUCGGAAUUACUGGGCGUAAAGCGCGUGUAGGCGGCUAUGCAAGUCGGAUGUGAAAUCCCGCGGCUUAACCGUGGAAGUGCACUCGAUACUGCAAAGCUAGAGUCCUGGAGAGGAAGGUGGAAUGCUUGGUGUAGAGGUGAAAUUCGUAGAUAUCAAGCGGAACACCGGUGGCGAAGGCGGCCUUCUGGACAGUGACUGACGCUGAGACGCGAAAGCGUGGGGAGCAAACAGGAUUAGAUACCCUGGUAGUCCACGCCGUAAACGAUGAGUGCUAGGUGUCACGGGCUUUGACCCUCGUGGUGCCGAAGCUAACGCGUUAAGCACUCCGCCUGGGGAGUACGGCCGCAAGGCUA
RNAcentral lists this ribosomal RNA (372 nucleotides) under uncultured organism. Its description in RNAcentral is "bacterial SSU rRNA". It matches the Rfam family "Bacterial small subunit ribosomal RNA", at positions 526 to 896 of the family's 1533-position model. The record is from RNAcentral.